AACGAACGCUGGCGGCAUGCCUAACACAUGCAAGUCGAACGAGACCUUCGGGUCUAGUGGCGCACGGGUGCGUAACGCGUGGGAACCUGCCCUUAGGUUCGGAAUAACUCCCCGAAAGGGGUGCUAAUACCGGAUAAUGUCUUCGGACCAAAGAUUUAUCGCCUUUGGAUGGGCCCGCGUUGGAUUAGCUAGUUGGUAGGGUAAAAGCCUACCAAGGCGACGAUCCAUAGCUGGUCUGAGAGGAUGAUCAGCCACACUGGGACUGAGACACGGCCCAGACACGGAGGGGAGGCAGCGGGGGGAAAUAGUGGAAAAGGGACGAAAGCCUGAACGAGCAGUGGGGGGUGAGGGAGGAUGGCUUAAGGGUUGAAAUGCUCUUUGACGGGGGACAAUAAAGACGGGGCGGGAAGAAUACGCUCGAGCAAACCCCGCGCCAGCAGCGGCGGUAACAAUCGUAGGAGCCACUUAUGAAC
Molecule: ribosomal RNA, 473 nt
Filed under: uncultured bacterium
Lineage: Bacteria
Description: partial 16S ribosomal RNA
Rfam family: Bacterial small subunit ribosomal RNA
Source: RNAcentral